This 451-nucleotide ribosomal RNA is filed under the name uncultured bacterium. RNAcentral describes it as "partial 16S ribosomal RNA". It matches the Rfam family "Bacterial small subunit ribosomal RNA", at positions 29 to 523 of the family's 1533-position model. The record is from RNAcentral.
AAUGAACGCUGGCGGCAGGCCUAAAACAUGCAAGUCGAACGCCUGUAGCAAUACAGGAGUGGCGCACGGGUGCGUAACACGUGGGAAUAUGCUUAUUGGUACGGAACAGCUCCGGGAAACUGGAAUUAAUACCGUAUGGUCCCUUCGGGGUAAAGAUUUAUCGCCAAUAGAUUAGCCCGCGGUGGAUUAGCUAGUUGGUAGGGUAAUGUCCUACCAAGGCGACGUUCCCUAGCUGGUCUGAGAGGACGAUCGUCAACACUGGGACUGAGACACGGCCCAGACUGCUACGGGAGGAAGCAGUUAGGAAUAUUGGACACUGGGCGCAAGCCUGAUCCAGCCAGGCCGCGUGAGUGAUGAAGGCCUUCGGGUUGUAAAACUCUUUAGCCGAUGAAUAUAAUGACUGGAGUCGGAAAAUAAGCCCCGGCUAACUUCGUGCCAGCCGCCGCGGUAA